GAUAUACUGGAGAUGGAUUUACAUGCACUGAUGUGGAUGAAUGCGCGCAUUCUCCUUGUGGUUCACAUUCAAGUUGCAAAAAUACUGAUGGUUCAUACUAUUGUUCAUGUCACACUGGAUAUGAAAAGGCCGGCCGGGAGAAUUGUACAGAUAAGAACGAAUGUGCAGGGAGCCCGUGCAGUGUGGAUGCUAACUGCACAAAUACGGAUGGUUCAUACUUUUGU
Molecule: long non-coding RNA, 224 nt
Organism: Dendronephthya gigantea
Lineage: Eukaryota; Metazoa; Cnidaria; Anthozoa; Malacalcyonacea; Nephtheidae
Exons: 3
Source: RefSeq, a predicted model, not a curated record